GACGAACGCUGGCGGCGUGCUUAACACAUGCAAGUCGAGCGGUAAGGCCCUUUCGGGGUACGACGAGCGGCGAACGGGUGAGUAACACGUGGGUGACCUGCCCUCCAGCUCUGGGAGUAAGCCUGGGAAACGUAGGGUCUAAUACUGGAUAUGACUCCACGGUGCAUGUCGUGGGGUGGAAAGCCUUGUGCGGCUGAGGAUGGGCCCGCGGCCUAUCAGCUUGUUGGUGGGGUGAGGCCUACCAAGGCGACGACGGGUAGCCGGCCUGAGAGGGCGACCGGCCACACUGGGACUGAGACACGGCCCAGACUCCUAC
RNAcentral lists this ribosomal RNA (316 nucleotides) under uncultured bacterium. RNAcentral's name for it is "bacterial SSU rRNA". It matches the Rfam family "Bacterial small subunit ribosomal RNA", at positions 28 to 342 of the family's 1533-position model. The record is from RNAcentral.